Microplitis mediator is the source of this 137-nucleotide small nucleolar RNA. NCBI's taxonomy places the organism in Eukaryota, Metazoa, Arthropoda, Insecta, Hymenoptera, Braconidae. The record is from RefSeq and is a predicted model, not a curated record.
CCAUAAUGAUAUGGGAACCAUUCCCAUAAUAUUAUAGGAAUAGUUCCCAUAUCAUUAUAAGAACUAUUCCCACAUCAUUAUGGGAACAAUUCCCAUAUCAUUAUAGGAACUAUUCCCACAUCAUUAUGGGAACAAUU